This 492-nucleotide ribosomal RNA is filed under the name uncultured bacterium. Its description in RNAcentral is "partial 16S ribosomal RNA". It matches the Rfam family "Bacterial small subunit ribosomal RNA", at positions 29 to 507 of the family's 1533-position model. The record is from RNAcentral.
AGUGAACGCUGGCGGUAGGCCUAACACAUGCAAGUCGAACGGCAGCACAGUAAGAGCUUGCUCUUACGGGUGGCGAGUGGCGGACGGGUGAGGAAUACAUCGGAAUCUACUUUUUCGUGGGGGAUAACGUAGGGAAACUUACGCUAAUACCGCAUACGACCUACGGGUGAAAGCAGGGGAUCUUCGGACCUUGCGCGAUUGAAUGAGCCGAUGUCGGAUUAGCUAGUUGGCGGGGUAAAGGCCCACCAAGGCGACGAUCCUUAGCUGGUCUGAGAGGAUGAUCAGCCACAAUGGAACUGAGACACGGUCCAGACUCCUACGGGAAGGAGGAGUGGGGAAUAUUGGACAAUGGGCGCAAGCCUGAUCCAGCCAUACCGCGUGGGUGAAGAAGGCCUUCGGGUCGUAAAGCCCUUUUGUUGGGAAAGAAAAGCAGCAGGUUAAUACCCCGCUGUUCUGACGGUACCCAAAGAAUAAGCACCGGCUAACUUCGUG